GCUUGAUCUCUAGAAUUGAACCAGAAUGAUAUUUUUUUUGGAUUUUAUGACUCUUCUUUCCUGAAUUUUACAAGUGAAGCAUAUUUUCAGUUUUUGAUUUAUUAUAUUAUUAUGCCAAGUAGUACCUGGUGUUUUUUAUUAUGUGAUUGAAAAAAGGAUUGUAUAUAAAAUAUUAAUUAUUACAUACAUACCACAAAUAUGAAAUAUGUAGGGGUACCGAAACCACCGAAUGUGAUCCCUACACAAAAAUGCAGGUGAUUAAAUAAGGUUUGUUCCAUUCUAAGUCAUAUGCAGAACGAAAAAACAAUCCAGCAACCAUAAAAAAUAAUAUUACAACUUAGGUUUACCGUUUGAAUCUUUACCUUGCAAUCAUGAACAAAAUAUAAAAAAGAUAUUUACGACGAAAAAC
Molecule: long non-coding RNA, 409 nt
Filed under: Lupinus angustifolius (narrow-leaved blue lupine)
Lineage: Eukaryota; Viridiplantae; Streptophyta; Magnoliopsida; Fabales; Fabaceae
Description: long non-coding RNA (LANG_LNC001364)
Source: RNAcentral